RNAcentral lists this ribosomal RNA (301 nucleotides) under uncultured bacterium. RNAcentral's name for it is "partial 16S ribosomal RNA". It matches the Rfam family "Bacterial small subunit ribosomal RNA", at positions 509 to 807 of the family's 1533-position model. The record is from RNAcentral.
CAGCCGCCGCGGUAAUACAGAGGGUGCGAGCGUUAAUCGGAUUUACUGGGCGUAAAGCGUGCGUAGGCGGCUUCUUAAGUCGGAUGUGAAAUCCCUGAGCUUAACUUAGGAAUUGCAUUCGAUACUGGGAAGCUAGAGUAUGGGAGAGGAUGGUAGAAUUCCAGGUGUAGCGGUGAAAUGCGUAGAGAUCUGGAGGAAUACCGAUGGCGAAGGCGGCCCCCUGGACAAAGACUGACGCUCAGGUGCGAAAGCGUGGGGAGCAAACAGGAUUAGAUACCCCUGUAGUCCCUGUCUCUUAUAC